UGGGGAAUAUUGGACAAUGGGCGCAAGCCUGAUCCAGCAAUGCCGCGUGAGUGAUGAAGGCCUUCGGGUUGUAAAGCUCUUUCGCCUGCGAGGAUGAUGACGGUAGCAGGAGAAGAAGCCCCGGCUAACUUCGUGCCAGCAGCCGCGGUAAUACGAAGGGGGCGAGCGUUGUUCGGAUUUACUGGGCGUAAAGGGCGCGUAGGCGGCGAUGUAAGUCAGGCGUGAAAGCCCCGGGCUCAACCUGGGAAUUGCGCUUGGGACUACAUUGCUGGAGUUCGGGAGAGGAGCGUGGAAUUCCCAGUGUAGAGGUGAAAUUCGUAGAUAUUGGGAAGAACACCGGUGGCGAAGGCGGCGCUCUGGACCGAUACUGACGCUGAGGCGCGAAAGCGUGGGGAGCAAACAGGAUUAGAUACCCUGGUAGUCCACGCUGUAAACGAUGUGUGCUAGACGUUGGGGAGCCUAGCUCUUCGGUGUCGCCGCUAACGCUGUAAGCACACCGCCUGGGGAGUACGGCCGCAAGGUUA
RNAcentral lists this ribosomal RNA (524 nucleotides) under uncultured bacterium. RNAcentral's name for it is "bacterial SSU rRNA". It matches the Rfam family "Bacterial small subunit ribosomal RNA", at positions 355 to 896 of the family's 1533-position model. The record is from RNAcentral.